RNAcentral lists this ribosomal RNA (478 nucleotides) under uncultured bacterium. Its description in RNAcentral is "partial 16S ribosomal RNA". It matches the Rfam family "Bacterial small subunit ribosomal RNA", at positions 28 to 523 of the family's 1533-position model. The record is from RNAcentral.
GACGAACGCUGGCGGCGUGCUUAACACAUGCAAGUCGAACGGUAAGGCCCUUCGGGGUACAUGAGUGGCGAACGGGUGAGUAACACGUGGGUGAUCUGCCCUGCACUUCGGGAUAAGCCUGGGAAACUGGGUCUAAUACCGGAUAGGACUCCGGACUGCAUGGUGUGGGGGGGAAAGCUUUUGCGGUGUGGGAUGGGCCCGCGGCCUAUCAGCUUGUUGGUGGGGUGAUGGCCUACCAAGGCGACGACGGGUAGCCGGCCUGAGGGGGUGACCGGCCACACUGGGACUGAGAUACGGCCCAGACUCCUACGGGAGGCAGCAGUGGGAAAUAUUGCACAAUGGGCGCAAGCCUGAUGCAGCGACGCCGCGUGAGGGAUGACGGCCUUCGGGUUGUAAACCUCUUUCAGCAUCGACGAAGCGAAAGUGACGGUAGGUGCAGAAGAAGGACCGGCCAACUACGUGCCAGCCGCCGCCGUAA